GAGAAAUGCUAGAAACAUAUUGUAUGCAAAACACAAUUCAUGUUCAUGGUAAACCUGGAAAUAUGACAGAAGUUAUGUCGUCUGUCAUACAAAAGUUUGGUACUGAAAGCAAAUUCAACAUCUACGAAUGCAGCCACAGACGGUCAUGCAAACGCUCGUCUCCUCCUCCAAACAUCUCAUCAACUCUCUCACCAUCUCUGUAGAAUUGAAAAGUUGGUGUGUAUCGAAGGUUCUGUGUUGUCUCUGGGCAUUCAUCAAUAUCAGCGUAUAUGAAAGAGAGUUUUGGGAACUUUUUGCUUAGCUCCCAAAAUGUAGGAAGUAUCUGAUUGCAGACGCGGCACCAAGAAACUCCAUAAUUGAUUACAGCCGGAGUUUUAGUUGUUCUGAUAGUGUGGAAAAUAUCCUCGAGAUUUUCGUCACCAGUGGCUGUCAUUAUGUUCGCCUGUUUAUUCACCGGAAGUUUUCUACUCACUGCUUUCUCGCCCCCUUCUCCCAUUUUCACUUUUUCUUUUUCCCUGAACAUUCUAGGAAGAAAAGAGAAAACUAACCAGAGUUCA
RNAcentral lists this unclassified non-coding RNA (557 nucleotides) under Hevea brasiliensis (rubber tree). The record is from RNAcentral. Lineage: Eukaryota; Viridiplantae; Streptophyta; Magnoliopsida; Malpighiales; Euphorbiaceae.